GCUGUCAGAAACACUAAAGUUAGACUGAUGCAGUAGCACUGAUGCUGGUGCUCUCACUGUUCAUCUUUACAAAUAGUUUUUUUUGUCCAGCAGGUGGAAGUAGAGACUGUACCACCGGCAGGACAGGUUACGUGUUGUCUCACAAAGAACUAUGGAGUGUUUUCA
Molecule: long non-coding RNA, 165 nt
Organism: Etheostoma cragini (Arkansas darter)
Lineage: Eukaryota; Metazoa; Chordata; Actinopteri; Perciformes; Percidae
Exons: 3
Source: RefSeq, a predicted model, not a curated record